UUCCCUCUGGUGAAGAGUCGCCGAGUUGGCGGCCUGUCCGGAUCGAUCCCGGACUAACCAGGGGGUUUUUU
This 71-nucleotide non-coding RNA is filed under the name unclassified sequences. RNAcentral describes it as "DUF3800-IX RNA". It matches the Rfam family "DUF3800-IX RNA". Rfam says of the family: Actinobacteria, Firmicutes (1 example), Nitrospirae, Proteobacteria, Verrucomicrobia (1 example). The record is from Rfam by way of RNAcentral.